Non-coding RNA from Anas platyrhynchos (mallard), 6091 nucleotides. The record is from RefSeq and is a predicted model, not a curated record. Lineage: Eukaryota; Metazoa; Chordata; Aves; Anseriformes; Anatidae.
GAUGUGGAGCCUUUUGAUGCCAGUGUGUGGUCAGGGUCUGCCCACGUGUACCACGCUGCCGUGCAAACAGGAAACACAAUGCCUGCAAUUUUCGUGUUUUUAAUAACAAGGACACCGUCCUGGACUUCCCUCCGUCAGGUUGUUCUAGGCUAUGGCAUCUUGUUUGCAAGAGGGAUUGAAAUACUUUUCCUGAGGUACCCCCCCUAUCUCCCAGUUUCUUCAGAAUGACUCUGUGCUUAGUAUCUGGCUCCUGAUUUUUGUCAGUCUUUACACUUUUUAAUUUAUUUACUGCGUAUGGUAUCAUUCAUUCCAAUUUCUUUUAGUCUUUCUUCUGCCCCAUCUCCUUGGGGAACCUUCUGGCUAUUAUUGGCUUCUGUUAUGCUUUUUGCCUCUUAAAACCGAAGCAAAGAUUGUGUUUGUAUUAUUAGUGUCUUUUCUCAGUUAGUGAAUCUGAUGCAAGAAUAUAGGAACCAUCAAACUUGAUUAAAAACUGCCAGUUUCUGGCAGCCCCUUGCCUCUGCAAGGAGCCAGCUCUGCACGUCUCAGAGAAAAGAGCAAACCCUUAUCUGCUGUAAGCAGCCGCGAGGAUGCCCACUUACAGAAGCGUGGUGAAAGAAGCCAGUGGGUUGCUCAUCUCAUGCUGCUUGAUGUUCUCUGUCCCCAUUUAGUUGUGUUUAUACAAUCUGUAGGCAUUAGGGAGGUUCUCUUUGUACAUACAUUUCAUCCUUCUACAAGUUAUUGCUUACAUUUAAUACAUAAAUCCAUCAAGUCUCAAGGGAGUACUUCAUUGUUCUUAAGUAUCUCAUUUUCAAGGUAAUAUUGAAGAAGAGAUCAUCAAUUUAAAUAUAUUGCCUCCUAAGUUCAUUUCAUAUUCUUUUCUUGCUUUAUGGAAAAAAUGGACAAACAAGACCACCCAUUCACCCUUCCCUGUGUCCUUCUCAGCUCCUUCUUGGCACUCCUUCUUGCAUUCUCUCCAUGAAUCAUCGCCUCAGCUCUCCCAUUGAAGUCUGUGGCAGUGAGACAAGCAUCUCAGGAUCUGACCUUGUUUUUACCCAUACUAAAGAAUUAUCCAAAACCACUCACGUUUCUCUCACAGCAAGAUCUUUUUUAUUUUGUUUGUUGCCUGACAGCACAUGCAGCCCAGGACAUACUUCCGCUGGCGUGAGAUUUCUACCCAUUUACUUUUCAGUGUUCACCUGUUUAUUUAUCCACUCACCUUCACCAUAUACAGCUUGCAUUUUGUCAAAAAGUCCUGAGUUAAAAAAUGCUGAACCAUACCUUUAUUAUUUCUUCCUCUAAUUCCUAACCAGUAAUUUGAGAAGUCUAUGGACAUUUGGAUCCCGAUUCUGUUCAUGUGCAGGUGAACUUCAGAAAUUAGCUUUUGGCUUGCAGUGGACCAAGCUGUUCUGCAUGCAGUUAGUUGGAUGUCCCAGAAGUGAAAAGCGAGCAUGACUGCACAAGACUCUACAAGUGUAAUUUCAUGUUUGAAUAUGUCCAAAGUAUCUAACAAUGUCUUUAUUCUCCAAAUUCCACUGAGUUCCUAGACAUCUGAACAAAAUUCUCUACUGGACUCAAUAACUGUGAUGGCGAAGAGGGCAGUAUGCCAUUUAUAGGGUCCACGCCACUGACCUUCAAAAAUACAAAUCUGCUUUUACAAACAGAUGGAGAAAAGAUUGCAAGGAGCACUUCACUGGUUUGGAUAGGACCAUAGUUGUACAUUCAUGGCAGAACUGAUGCUGAAAGCCAAGUCUCCAGCUCCAGUCUUCUUCACAUGGUGAUGUUGCCUUUGUGUUGCUACGUGCUAGUGUUCCUUAUGGGCAAUCUCAUGUGUGUCUUUCCAUGCCUCCUCGCACCACACCCACAACUGCAGCAGGGAGGCUGUAGACUCUUUUUCAAUCCUUCUGAAGAUCAUAGCAAAAAUAGUGGGCCACAAAUCAAAAUGUAGAAUGGCAGCUUUGCUUCAUGCCCAUGCCUGUAGAAGAGUGGGAGAGCUACUGUUCCUUCUUACUCUUGUUCCAGUGCUUGCCUGAAGUAAAUGUAUCAGGUUUUGUUUACAAUCAAGCCUUCCUUUUGCAACUAAAAAGACAUUUCUAUAGUUUUCUCUGAAGAGCUAUUUUUUUAGAUGAAUAUAUAGGUACAGCCUCAUCAUUCUUACCGUUUAAAAUUUCCAGUUUCUAGUUGGUCUAGUUGCUUCUUCUCCAAAUGAAAUUAUCACCCGAAGUCCCAAUUAUGUCAAAGAAAGUAUGAUUAAAUGCUUUGCAGAUAUGUUUGCCCAUUUCUUCCCAAUCCAUUCUACUAGUGUUACCGUUGCUUCUGUUCCACAAAAGCUAUUGUGACAGCAACAGGGCAAACACCAACGCCAGGACAUACAUCAGUUUAACUUGUUUAAUUAGUUUAAAACUUCUUAAAUAAUCAUUUAGAAAAUAAAUUUAUUAACUUAAAAUCAUUCACACCUUACAUGCUUGCAGUGCUCACUGAGACCUACUUUCAUAAAGCAGAAAAAGAAGUUUGUAGUGCAAUCCUUAAAGGUUUAUUAUCUGAAAACUGAGAAAAGAUAGACUGUUAUCCAAGAGCUAGGAAGAGGGAAAGGCUGCCAUACUCUAGAUUUACUGUAGGGUCAUCCUUAACACUUGUUGAUUUCUCUAGAUUGUUUUAUCACCUUGGUUGUUAUUACUGCCAUGAUGAAUUGAUUUAGUAUUUGUAUUAUCUAAUCUAGAAAGGAUUUUGUGGGUCAAUAAGAUGUUUCAGAUGGGUGUUGAAAAACACUCUGUAAAUGCUUCCACCUUCCUGGGACUCUUUUGGGAUAAAUAGCAUUAGGGAUUAAGGUUUAUAUAGGUAUUAGUACUCCUGUUUUGCAGAGGGAGAAACUGAGACACUAUGGUUAAAUUACUUCACUGGUGACCAAAGAAAUGGGACACAGCUUUAGGCAGUAAGAACCUGUGCUAAAGCUACAGAGUGAUUUUGCAGUUUCAUCCUGGUGGCCCAGUCAGGCAGGUUGUGUUAUCUGGAAACCGAGUUGUCUCCAUCUGUCUCAAAGAGUAAAUUGGAAGUCUUUGCAGGGAACAUGCCUAGAAACACCAGCAUCAAGCAGAAGCUGAAGCUGAUGUGCUGUUCUCACGUAAAAAGAUGAAUCCCAAAAGAGAGGGAAAGGUGACGGGUGACCGUGAAUUUUGACUGCCUGGGGUGUGUUGUAGACUGUGUCGACAGGUAUAGAAACUCACUCCUCAAAAUAAGUGACAGAGAUAAAAGGAAGCCCCAGGAAGCCUGACUCCCACUCCUCAACUCUAAUAGCAGAAAGAAAUCCCAGAGAUGGCUUUGCAGUCUGAAGACUCUUAAGAAAUUUGGCUGAAAAUCCAGGACAAUGAGAGGAUAAUAUCAGGAUGAUCUCUAUGGGGUUUAUCUACACUUUUGUACUCAAAAAAUAAUCCAAAUUAACUGGUUUCAGAUUUUUUUAAAUGGAUCAUUAAACCAAGCUGUGUACAUUGCUGUGAGGAUCACCUUUCAGCCUUUAAUCUCUCGCCACUGAACAAAAAAGAAACAGGUCAUUCUGCCUGGCAAACUGUUAUGGGGAGAGAUGAAGAUGUCCCACAGCUGGGUCUGAGGGUCCCAGUUUCCUGACCGGAACUUUGUGCAGACUGGCAGUCUGACAGCUGUUCAUCUGCUCCCUGACCCAGAGCUCUACGGGGAAACCACCUCAGUGACAUCAAGGGUGACAUGGUGUACCAGAGCCCCACCACAUGACUGACUUAACUCUUGUGCUACUACAGCAUCUGUCAACUAGCUUGUCUGUGGAAAAAAAAAAAUUACCUGGGAUGUCAACUAAAAAAACAAACCAAACCAAAAGCAACAAUAAACACACAAAAAAACAGCAUAAUAAAGUUCAAGAUUAUUGUACUUUCUGCACAUGUAAGAAACAUUCACCCAAAUGGUCUUUUUAUCCUACUACUUAAUUCAAUUUACAAUAAUAUAGCAAUUGCCCAGGAUCAUGAACACGUUCAUGUGCAGAAAGCAAACAAACUCAGUAAGUUGCUGACGAAAACAAACAAACCAAAUGUCUUUCCCCAGAACAACAUGCUCUCAACCAUCAUCAAAAAAGACACCUGUGUAAAAAUGGUGACAAAAAGCUCAUACUUAAGGCACCCUCUCCUGUACUGCACUACUUGUGAUAUAAAACCAUGUAGUUUAUUUCAGCAUACAAAAAGAUUUUAUCUGAAAAUACUUUGUAGUAGCUCUUUCUAGCAUAGGAAUUAUGGGCCAUUAGCUAGAGAAUAAGAAAUUUAGAGUCAAAAUCCAGUGUAGCCUAAACUGUAUUCAACUCAUUCAUUUAUAAGACAGCAGCAAGACACCAAUACCUUUACUCAAAUAGUUGGAUGUGAAAGUAAUCAGUGGUCUAAGUCCAGAUGCUAAAGGCAGGUGUGAAAAUAAUAAAAAUUACUCAAUCAGAUGCCACUAAGUGGUCGUGUGGCUUGACUCCUCAGCAUAAUGUAUCAGGAAGGUGGGGAGAAGUACAAGGCAACAGCAGCUGGAAAAGUGCAAGAGAAGAGGAGUUUCAUCCUGAGGAAAAAAUAGUGUCAGCACAUUCAUAAGAGCAGAAUGGGAGAAGAGUGUGUGACAGGCACACUUUCAGUGGAGUAAAGGAGAGCAGGUUAUUUCAGAUCUGAAAAUUUCAAAUUUAACCAUAAAAUAUCAUUGUCAGUCUCCUGCAGAAGUCUGAAUACCAAGGUAUUAGUUGAACAUGAAACUACAGUUACAGGAAGAAAAAUAUAUGGCCUGAAGGAGUGGAUCAAAAGAAAGAACAAAAUAUCUGAAGAGCUGGAUGCUAUAGAAAAUCCUGGAUUGACAGUGAAAAACCAGGAAAAUAUUUUAUUUCUAAAAUUGAUGGCACCAUCAUGCUUAAAAUCGCAUUAUGGAUCAUGCUUUACUGAUCUGUGGAUGCAGAGAACAUGAGGACACCCAGGUAAAGCCUGAAGAGCCACCAUAGGCUUAUAAAUAGUGGUGAAUAGCAAAAUAAAUAAAUAACCUAUAAUUAAAUUGUAAUUCAACUACAACCAAAUAGGCACAAAGGAAAAUGAGCUUUGGCUCCAAUUUCUCAGAGAAAAGUUGAUAGUCCUACUUCAAAAAAAUAGGUGGGAGAAAAAUGUAUCCUUUUGCAAGUGCAUUUUCCUAAUUUUAACUACCACAUUUAACUACCAGCUCUUAAAUCAUGUCUAAAAAGGCCAGGAAAACACAUUAGCACCUCUGCACAAGUAUUGUGUUUUGUUUGAAUAUGGUCGGCUUGGGGAGAGAGGAAAGAAAGAUUUCUAGUCUCCCUAGAGAUAAGGCCUGGGGGCUGUUGGCACAAGCACUAACCAGGGUAGUGAUUAAAGAUAACUGAAAGAAAAUGCCUUUAAAGUAGAAUUCACAAAACAAAACAAAGCAAAACAAAAUAAUAAACAAACAAACAGAAAACACAUUGGGCAGCAAAUAGGAGACAGGACCUCAGUGAAGAGUGUUUAAUAAUUAGGUCACUUCUCAGUUGCAAAACUCUUUUGGGAACUACAAACGUAUUCUAAAACAGGAGUCAGAAACCUGCCAAAGCUGAUUUGCCUGGCUGUUUCAGAAGCCCUCCUGGGUUCCCUAGUUUAGUUUUCACCCUCACAAUUAUCCCUCUGCCAGGGCAACCAAUACAGUACAUUGACUAACUUCUGGAGCCGCUCACUGCCACCCUCACAGAGUUACCAGCAGAGCUCUGGGAGGCAUAUGCUGGUGGCUGCUUCUGAGCAGCUCCCAGCAUUGACCAGAGGAAUGAGUGACGGACCAACCAAGAAUUUCUGUGCAGAGGGAGACAGUACAAUUCGGAGUUAUCUACUGCCUUAAAAAAUUUUCCCUUUCUGUGGUCAUUUGUCUUCUAUCCCUGUUUCCAGGUCAGCAGAGCACUUGCACAUACAUUAUAUGUUGAGGUACACAUCGAGGGCCUUUGCACAGUUCUGACUUGGUGUGUGCAGGCUCUGUCAUGCAGCUCAUUCAGAAAAUACCAUCCAAUUGAAUAUUAGCCAGCAGUUACACCCUGAAUCCAGAAGUGGAUUCACAGUUAUGAUAGAAAAGAAGGACA